UACGUAGGUGGCAAGCGUUGUUCGGAUUCAUUGGGCGUAAAGGGGGUGUAGGUGGCGCCGUAAGUCGGGUGUGAAAUCUCGGGGCUUAACUCCGAAACUGCAUUCGAUACUGCGGUGCUUGAGGACUGGAGGGGAGACUGGAAUUCAUGGUGUAGCAGUGAAAUGCGUAGAGAUCAUGAGGAAGACCAGUGGCGAAGGCGGGUCUCUGGACAGUUCCUGACACUGAGACACGAAGGCCAGGGGAGCAAACGGG
This 253-nucleotide ribosomal RNA is filed under the name uncultured bacterium. RNAcentral's name for it is "partial 16S ribosomal RNA". It matches the Rfam family "Bacterial small subunit ribosomal RNA", at positions 524 to 776 of the family's 1533-position model. The record is from RNAcentral.